Molecule: ribosomal RNA, 253 nt
Filed under: uncultured bacterium
Lineage: Bacteria
Description: partial 16S ribosomal RNA
Rfam family: Bacterial small subunit ribosomal RNA
Source: RNAcentral
UACAGAGGGCGCGAGCGUUGUCCGGAAUCACUGGGCGUAAAGGGCGCGUAGGCGGCUCGUGAAGUCGGGUGUGAAAGCCCGGGGCUCAACCCCGGAACGGCAUCCGAUACUGGCGGGCUUGAGACCGGGAGAGGAGGGUGGAAUACCCAGUGUAGAGGUGAAAUUCGUAGAUAUUGGGUGGAACACCGGUGGCGAAAGCGGCUCUCUGGCCCGGAUCUGACGCUGAGGCGCGAAAGCGUGGGGAGCAAACAGG